CAGAACAGAAAACAGAAAACGCAAAAAAGAAAAUGAAAAUGAAAAACAGUGUCUUAAAAUGAGGACAUCGAUGUCCAUGUGGAUAACAAGAAAUUGUUCAGUUGGUGGCGGUAGUGCACCAAAAGUUGGCUUGCCCACCGCCAAUAAACGUCACAAGAAGAAGAAGAAGAAGAAGAAGAAGCCUGGGAUGCGUCACGUCCGGAUCCUCCCCUUUUUCUGUUGCUACAGUGGUUACAAGUAUGUGCUGUUAGCACGUAGCGUUGUGCUAAUCUCUUUUUAUUACUGCUCGUUGCACCAAUGGCUCGUUUGUUGUACCCCAGCCUGUCUUUUUCAUCGGUUUGUAUGUGUUCCCAUCGGAUGCUGUAUUGGAUUUGAUUACUGCCCUCCUUUCAGAUGUCUUACAACAAGUGAAGCCUGAGAAAAAGGAGGCCUCAAAGUUUGUGUUUGCUGUUUCUGCAAAACUGCCUCCGUUUGUGCUCCUGAUCAGCUUGUGGUCUUUGCUCAUGGUGGAAAUCCCUGAGUUCGUCAGAGUAUCAAUUUAAUGAAUAAGGACAUACUUUUUGCAUUAGAAGAGUAGCUUCAAUCCUUGAAAAGCUUCAAGUCCUGAACAGUGAACUGUGGUAGUGUUUCAGUCUGUAGUACUGUGUUUCUGUCCUCGAUGGUGAGUUUCCAUGUGUAUUUACUUCCAUUUUACAGAUGCAGGUUGCAUUUAUGUUGUCACAGUUUUCCAGGCUCUUUUUCCAACGACUAAAAUGCAUGUUUGAGCUGUUUUAACUGAAAGUAAUUUGCACUGACAUCUUAAAAUUUGUCUGUGCUAUUGUUUUGUUUCAAGAUGAACGCCAAUAAUGUAUUUUUUUUACUACUUAACCCCUUUCACAGACAAGGCUUAAACCUAGUCCCAGACUAAAAUGCAUGUUUGAGCUGUUUUAACUGAAAACAUAUCUUAAAAUAUGUCACUACUGGUGUUUAUCUUGAGACAAAACAAUGGCAAUGAUUGUUUUUUCUAAGGCAUGUCUAUAAAAGCUACUUAAAUAAUUGAACUAAGGUCUGAUCCUGGCUUAGGCUAAGCCCUGUCUGUGAAACCAGGGGCCUGUACCAUGAUGAUAGUUGAACAAACUCAGGGUUAUAGGAUUAAUUUCAAGUUGACAAAACCAAACCACUCCAAUCCGGCUUUGUUGGUACCAUGAUGCUGAUCAUCAACUUUCUCUGUCAACUCAGGCUUUGAUCCUGAGUUUGUGGAGCGCGUGCACGUGAAUGCGUGACAUCAGUGGCAAACAGCCAAUCACAUGCCUUGCAGCAGAAAGAAACCGUGAUUUACUUCUCGCGAGAGAGUCAACACGAUUCAAAACUCUUUUGCUGAAGAAAAUGAAGAAUUUAAAUGCAUUUACACUAAAGAAGAAACUUGUCCAUGAAAAAGGACAAAUAAAAGAAAUUAUCUUGCUCUAUCAGAGCAAGUGAAAAUUGUCAAGUGUUUAUAUAGUUUAUUAUAUACAGCAAUAGAGACUCAAACAUGUAACGUUAUGUAGUCAUUUUUAAAGAGUUAUCUGUUGAUUCUACAUUCUGUAUAAAUAUUUAUUUAAAAUAAAUGCUUAAUAAUAACUGUUAAACUAAAAUUGCUUGUGUGAAAUGGAUUAAUAAUAUAGAUCAUAUAAUAAUUAUUUAAAUCAUAUAUAAGUCAUAAAAUAAUUCUAUAAAUCAUUAAAGCAAGACAAUUUCAUCGUUAAAUAUUUGUUUUUAUUAUAUAGUGAUCUUUAAUUUGGAGGAAGAGAAACUGGGGGAGGGACUUUAUUGCGUUGGAUGUGUCAGUGUCACUUUGCUCACAUCUGAUUGGUCCAAUUUUGGUUUGAGAUCUUUUACCCAGAACAUAACCUGCCCCGGAGCAGGUUAGCUGUGGAGCGUAAGUUACUAUGGUGAUGAACACCGCUAAAAGCCAAGUCACUUUCAUGGUUCCUAAAACCCAGGAUUGGCACAAACUAAUCUGAAACUUAGCUGGCUAGCCAGCUAAUCCAGCUUCAUGGUACAGGCCCCAGGUCUAUUUGUUUGUCACCAUGAAAUGCCAUUUUUCCAGCCACUUGUUUUUCCUGAAUGUGAUGUUAAUUCCUGUUCAAACAGUGUGUGGUUAUAAAUAAAUACAUUUGUAUGUAAACUGAAGGAAGUUGUGAAUUGUUCAUUAAAACCAUAUUAACUCCA
This is a long non-coding RNA of Ctenopharyngodon idella (grass carp), 2190 nucleotides long. RefSeq lists it as uncharacterized. Lineage: Eukaryota; Metazoa; Chordata; Actinopteri; Cypriniformes; Xenocyprididae. The record is from RefSeq and is a predicted model, not a curated record. The transcript is spliced from 3 exons.